UACGUAGGUGGCAAGCGUUGUCCGGAAUUAUUGGGCGUAAAGCGCGCGCAGGCGGUCCUUUAAGUCUGAUGUGAAGGCCCACGGCUCAACCGUGGAGGGUCAUUGGAAACUGGGGGACUUGAGUGCAGAAGAGGAAAGCGGAAUUCCACGUGUAGCGGUGAAAUGCGUAGAGAUGUGGAGGAACACCAGUGGCGAAGGCGGCUUUCUGGUCUGUAACUGACGCUGAGGCGCGAAAGCGUGGGGAGCAAACAGG
RNAcentral lists this ribosomal RNA (253 nucleotides) under uncultured bacterium. Its description in RNAcentral is "partial 16S ribosomal RNA". It matches the Rfam family "Bacterial small subunit ribosomal RNA", at positions 524 to 776 of the family's 1533-position model. The record is from RNAcentral.